AGCGUAGGUGGCCUAACAUGUCAACCGUGAAAACCCGGAGCUCAACUCCGGACUUGCAGUUGAAACUGGUAGGCUUGAGGACGGUAGAGGAAGACGGAACUGCCAGUGUAGGGGUAAAAUCCUUAGAUAUUGGCAGGAACGCCGGUGACGAAGGUGGUUUUCUGGGCCGGUUCUGACACUGAUGCUCGAAAGCCAGGGGAGCGAACGG
RNAcentral lists this ribosomal RNA (208 nucleotides) under uncultured Mesotoga sp. Its description in RNAcentral is "partial 16S ribosomal RNA". It matches the Rfam family "Bacterial small subunit ribosomal RNA", at positions 568 to 775 of the family's 1533-position model. The record is from RNAcentral. Lineage: Bacteria; Thermotogati; Thermotogota; Thermotogae; Kosmotogales; Kosmotogaceae.